UUUGGUGAUGAUGGCGGAGGGGACCCACACGUUCCCAUCUCGAACACGACCGUUAAGCCCUCCAGCGUCGAUGGUACUUGAACCGCAGGGUUCUGGGAGAGUAGAACGUUGCCAAGC
RNAcentral lists this ribosomal RNA (117 nucleotides) under Paenibacillus sp. Soil724D2. Lineage: Bacteria; Bacillati; Bacillota; Bacilli; Caryophanales; Paenibacillaceae. The record is from RNAcentral. RNAcentral also lists the same sequence under 2 other names.